UUAAGCGACUAAGCGUACACGGUGGAUGCCCUGGCAGUCAGAGGCGAUGAAGGACGUGCUAAUCUGCGAUAAGCGUCGGUGAGGUGAUAUGAACCGUUAUAACCGGCGAUUUCCGAAUGGGGAAACCCAGUGUGUUUCGACACACUAUCAUUAACUGAAUCCAUAGGUUAAUGAGGCGAACCGGGGGAACUGAAACAUCUAAGUACCCCGAGGAAAAGAAAUCAACCGAGAUUCCCCCAGUAGCGGCGAGCGAACGGGGAGGAGCCCAGAGCCUGAAUCAGUGUGUGUGUUAGUGGAAGCGUCUGGAAAGGCGCGCGAUACAGGGUGACAGCCCCGUACACAAAAAUGCACAUAUUGUGAGCUCGAUGAGUAGGGCGGGACACGUGGUAUCCUGUCUGAAUAUGGGGGGACCAUCCUCCAAGGCUAAAUACUCCUGACUGACCGAUAGUGAACCAGUACCGUGAGGGAAAGGCGAAAAGAACCCCGGCGAGGGGAGUGAAAAAGAACCUGAAACCGUGUACGUACAAGCAGUGGGAGCCUCUUAAUGGGGUGACUGCGUACCUUUUGUAUAAUGGGUCAGCGACUUAUAUUCUGUAGCAAGGUUAACCGAAUAGGGGAGCCGAAGGGAAACCGAGUCUUAACUGGGCGUUAAGUUGCAGGGUAUAGACCCGAAACCCGGUGAUCUAGCCAUGGGCAGGUUGAAGGUUGGGUAACACUAACUGGAGGACCGAACCGACUAAUGUUGAAAAAUUAGCGGAUGACUUGUGGCUGGGGGUGAAAGGCCAAUCAAACCGGGAGAUAGCUGGUUCUCCCCGAAAGCUAUUUAGGUAGCGCCUCGUGAAUUCAUCUCCGGGGGUAGAGCACUGUUUCGGCAAGGGGGUCAUCCCGACUUACCAACCCGAUGCAAACUGCGAAUACCGGAGAAUGUUAUCACGGGAGACACACGGCGGGUGCUAACGUCCGUCGUGAAGAGGGAAACAACCCAGACCGCCAGCUAAGGUCCCAAAGUCAUGGUUAAGUGGGAAACGAUGUGGGAAGGCCCAGACAGCCAGGAUGUUGGCUUAGAAGCAGCCAUCAUUUAAAGAAAGCGUAAUAGCUCACUGGUCGAGUCGGCCUGCGCGGAAGAUGUAACGGGGCUAAACCAUGCACCGAAGCUGCGGCAGCGACGCUUAUGCGUUGUUGGGUAGGGGAGCGUUCUGUAAGCCUGUGAAGGUGUGCUGUGAGGCAUGCUGGAGGUAUCAGAAGUGCGAAUGCUGACAUAAGUAACGAUAAAGCGGGUGAAAAGCCCGCUCGCCGGAAGACCAAGGGUUCCUGUCCAACGUUAAUCGGGGCAGGGUGAGUCGACCCCUAAGGCGAGGCCGAAAGGCGUAGUCGAUGGGAAACAGGUUAAUAUUCCUGUACUUGGUGUUACUGCGAAGGGGGGACGGAGAAGGCUAUGUUGGCCGGGCGACGGUUGUCCCGGUUUAAGCGUGUAGGCUGGUUUUCCAGGCAAAUCCGGAAAACCAAGGCUGAGGCGUGAUGACGAGGCACUACGGUGCUGAAGCAACAAAUGCCCUGCUUCCAGGAAAAGCCUCUAAGCAUCAGGUAACAUCAAAUCGUACCCCAAACCGACACAGGUGGUCAGGUAGAGAAUACCAAGGCGCUUGAGAGAACUCGGGUGAAGGAACUAGGCAAAAUGGUGCCGUAACUUCGGGAGAAGGCACGCUGAUAUGUAGGUGAAGCGACUUGCUCGUGGAGCUGAAAUCAGUCGAAGAUACCAGCUGGCUGCAACUGUUUAUUAAAAACACAGCACUGUGCAAACACGAAAGUGGACGUAUACGGUGUGACGCCUGCCCGGUGCCGGAAGGUUAAUUGAUGGGGUUAGCGGUAACGCGAAGCUCUUGAUCGAAGCCCCGGUAAACGGCGGCCGUAACUAUAACGGUCCUAAGGUAGCGAAAUUCCUUGUCGGGUAAGUUCCGACCUGCACGAAUGGCGUAAUGAUGGCCAGGCUGUCUCCACCCGAGACUCAGUGAAAUUGAACUCGCUGUGAAGAUGCAGUGUACCCGCGGCAAGACGGAAAGACCCCGUGAACCUUUACUAUAGCUUGACACUGAACAUUGAGCCUUGAUGUGUAGGAUAGGUGGGAGGCUUUGAAGUGUGGACGCCAGUCUGCAUGGAGCCGACCUUGAAAUACCACCCUUUAAUGUUUGAUGUUCUAACGUGGGCCCCUAAUCGGGGUUGCGGACAGUGUCUGGUGGGUAGUUUGACUGGGGCGGUCUCCUCCUAAAGAGUAACGGAGGAGCACGAAGGUUGGCUAAUCCUGGUCGGACAUCAGGAGGUUAGUGCAAUGGCAUAAGCCAGCUUGACUGCGAGCGUGACGGCGCGAGCAGGUGCGAAAGCAGGUCAUAGUGAUCCGGUGGUUCUGAAUGGAAGGGCCAUCGCUCAACGGAUAAAAGGUACUCCGGGGAUAACAGGCUGAUACCGCCCAAGAGUUCAUAUCGACGGCGGUGUUUGGCACCUCGAUGUCGGCUCAUCACAUCCUGGGGCUGAAGUAGGUCCCAAGGGUAUGGCUGUUCGCCAUUUAAAGUGGUACGCGAGCUGGGUUUAGAACGUCGUGAGACAGUUCGGUCCCUAUCUGCCGUGGGCGCUGGAGAACUGAGGGGGGCUGCUCCUAGUACGAGAGGACCGGAGUGGACGCAUCACUGGUGUUCGGGUUGUCAUGCCAAUGGCACUGCCCGGUAGCUAAAUGCGGAAGAGAUAAGUGCUGAAAGCAUCUAAGCACGAAACUUGCCCCGAGAUGAGUUCUCCCUGAGACUUAGAGUCUCCUGAAGGAACGUUGAAGACGACGACGUUGAUAGGCCGGGUGUGUAAGCGCAGCGAUGCGUUGAGCUAACCGGUACUAAUGAACCGUGAGGCUUAACCU
This 2902-nucleotide ribosomal RNA is filed under the name Escherichia coli. Its description in RNAcentral is "bacterial LSU rRNA". It matches the Rfam family "Bacterial large subunit ribosomal RNA". The record is from RNAcentral. Lineage: Bacteria; Pseudomonadati; Pseudomonadota; Gammaproteobacteria; Enterobacterales; Enterobacteriaceae.